UACGUAGGGUGCAAGCGUUGUCCGGAAUUAUUGGGCGUAAAGAGCUCGUAGGCGGUUUGUCGCGUCUGCUGUGAAAACUCAGGGCUUAACCCUGAGCCUGCAAUGGGUACGGGCAGACUAGAGUGUGGUAGGAGAGAUCGGAAUUCCUGGUGUAGCGGUGGAAUGCGCAGAUAUCAGGAGGAACACCGGUGGCGAAGGCGGAUCUCUGAGCCAUAACUGACGCUGAGGAACGAAAGCAUGGGGAGCGAACAGG
RNAcentral lists this ribosomal RNA (253 nucleotides) under uncultured bacterium. RNAcentral describes it as "partial 16S ribosomal RNA". It matches the Rfam family "Bacterial small subunit ribosomal RNA", at positions 524 to 776 of the family's 1533-position model. The record is from RNAcentral.